AUAUACUCCAUAGAUAAUAGACACUGGAAUGUGCUUUAGUCGAAAGUUCUGGCGCCUUAGGAUGGAUCUGCGGUCGAUUAGGUUGUUGUUGGGGUAACGGCCCAACAAGCCUGUAAUCGAUACGGGUUGUGGGAGCAAGAGCCCGGAGAUGGAAUCUGAGACACGAUUCCAGGCCCUACGGGGCGCACCAGGCGCGAAAACUUUACAAUGCAGGAAACUGUGAUAAGGGAACUCCGAGUGCCCGUAUACGCGGGCUGUCCAGGUGUUUAAAAAUCAUCUGAAGAAAGGGCCGGGCAAGACCGGUGCCAGCCGCCGCGGUAAUACCGGCGGCUCGAGUGGUGGCCACUAUUAUUGGGCUUAAAGCGUCCGUAUCUGGACCGAUAAGUCUCUUGGGAAAUCCGCCGGCUCAACCGGCGGGCGUCUAAGGGAUACUGUUAGUCUAUGGACCGGGAGAGGUGAGAGGUACUCCGGGGGUAUGAGUGAAAUCCUGUAAUCCCCGGGGGACCACCGAUGGCGAAAGCAUCUCACCAAACGGCUCCGACAGUGAGGGACGAAAGCUGGGGGAGCGAACCGGAUUAUAUACCCGGGUAUUCCCAGCCGUAAACUAUGCGCGUUAGGUGU
This 621-nucleotide ribosomal RNA is filed under the name uncultured archaeon. RNAcentral describes it as "bacterial SSU rRNA". It matches the Rfam family "Archaeal small subunit ribosomal RNA", at positions 147 to 774 of the family's 1478-position model. The record is from RNAcentral.